CGCCUCCCUCCGCCGCCACUCAGACUCCGUACGGGACGGCGAGCGAGGUGGGAAGUCGUUGCACAUGGACGAAAGUCUGAUGCAGCAACGCCGCGUGGGGAGUGAAGCUUCUCGGAGUGUAACCCUUUCGACCCGGAAGAAUGCCGCAAGGGUUUGACGGUACGGGUAUAAGAAGCCCGGCUAACUACGUGCCAGCAGCCGCGGUAAUUC
Molecule: ribosomal RNA, 210 nt
Filed under: uncultured bacterium
Lineage: Bacteria
Description: partial 16S ribosomal RNA
Rfam family: Bacterial small subunit ribosomal RNA
Source: RNAcentral